ACUCUUUUUUCAAAAACAGUUUCUUCGCCUUUUCUCAACCUUUGACCCCCAAUAUAGUCUCCAUCGUUUUCCCCAACCCUCCCCUGUCACUGCCUUCAGUCAUCAAUUUGCUACCCUCACCGAAGCUGUUUCCCCCUCUCUUUCUUUUCUCUAAUUUACCAAAUCCUUCUCUCUACAACGAUGAAGAACUUCUUAGGUCCCUUAAAAUCAGCCCGACUUCUCACAAAAAGCUUUCCUCCCAUUGUAUUGCGUCCUGCUACCGUCUUUUCGGAGUCGCUGCCUUACAGUUCGACGUCAAGAACAUGUUUACUGUGAUCGGACCAGUCUUUCUCCAAAAGCUUUACCAAGAGAGUAGGAGAGAAAGAUCUAUGGGAGGCCCUUCACUACUGUCAGACCAGUCCCCUCUGAUACUGAUGAAGAGAUUGCUACAUCAAUUGCUGAUUUGACACAACCGGAUGAAGCAUGGAGUCAAAUGUUUUGUCUAUGAGAUUGUUCUGGUCAUAGUGACAUUACUAUGUAAUUAUAGUGGGGCAGAAAUUAGAAGGAAUUCGCUAGAAAGUUCUCCUGCUUGCUAAAUUACCAAAUCUGAAAGAAAAUACCAUUGCUUUUACCUACUAUGUGCCACACCACCUGAGGGAGGAUUUGAUAUGAUCUGCAUUUGGAGAUACAAGAUUGAAACUCUAGAGCAGUUAAGAUUUUUAUUAUUAUUUUUUCUGGCUUAUUUAUUGACUUUCUACCAAGUUUUUAUGCGCUAAGACUAAUUGAUUGCAAAUGGAUAUGUUUUUCAGUUUAAGCAAGCUGAAGAAACAGCAUUGAAGCUUGAUUUGGACAGGCAUUAAUAUGUUGCUUCUUAUGCAGUGAGCCACAUCAAGUGCAGUUUCUAUUCAUUAUAAUGUCUAUCAAUAUUGUAUGCUUUGUUUGAGGACUCAAGCUGUGUUACAAAGCUGUUUGUACCAUAACAUUGUUCAUUUCCCUGCCUUUGUAUUGAUUAAUAACAGCAGCUAGAUAAAUGUGUGGCCUAGCAAAAUGCCACAUGUUGAAGUUAUCAUUUCUUUGAACAUUAAA
Molecule: long non-coding RNA, 1065 nt
Organism: Quercus robur (English oak)
Lineage: Eukaryota; Viridiplantae; Streptophyta; Magnoliopsida; Fagales; Fagaceae
Exons: 4
Source: RefSeq, a predicted model, not a curated record